CCGUAGUCAUAUGCUUGUUUAAAGAUUAAGCCAUGCAUGUCUAAGUAUAAGCAAAAAUACAGCAAAUCUGCAAAUGGCUCAUUAAAACAGUUAUGGUUUACUUGAUAAUAGUUUUUACAUGGAUAACCGUGGUAAUUCUACAGCUAAUACAUGAGCAAAAUCUCAACUUUAUUAGAAGAGACGCAUUUAUUAGAUAAAAAGCCAAUGCAUGCUUUUACAGUAUGAAAAUUGGUGAUUUAUAAUAACUUAGCAAAUCGCAAAGUGAAAACAGGCGAUAAAUCAUUCAAGUUUCUGACCUAUCAGCUUUCGACGGUAUGGUAUUGGCUUACCGUGGCAGUGACGGUUAACGGGGGAUUAGGGUUCGAUUCCGGAGAGGGAGCCUGAGAAACGGCUACCACAUCUAAGGAAGGCAGCAGCCGCGCAAAUUACCCAAUUCUAACAGUUUGAGAGAGGUAGUAACAAGAAAUAACAAUACAAGGCAGUUAAAAUGCUUUGUAAUUGGAAUGAUAGAAAUUUAAACCCUUUUUAAAGUAUCAAUUGGAGGGCAAGUCUGGUGCCAGCAGCCGCGGUAAUUCCAGCUCCAAUAGCGUAUAUUAAAAUUGUUGCAGUUAAAAAGCUCGUAGUUGAAGUUCUGCUAAAAGUAACCGGUCUGCUUUUAAUAAAGGUGGUAUCUUGGUGUGUAUUUAGCAAUGAUGUCCUUUGAAGUGUUUUUUACUUUAUUGUAAUAAAGCAUAUUCAGGACUUUUACUUUGAGAAAAUUAGAGUGUUUCUAGCAGGCUGACGCUUUGAAUACUGCAGCAUGGAAUAAUAAGAUAGGAUUUUAGUUCUACAUUAUUGGUUUUAAGAGCUAAAUUAAUGAUGAUA
RNAcentral lists this ribosomal RNA (864 nucleotides) under Hepatozoon canis. RNAcentral describes it as "bacterial SSU rRNA". It matches the Rfam family "Eukaryotic small subunit ribosomal RNA", at positions 18 to 873 of the family's 1831-position model. Lineage: Eukaryota; Apicomplexa; Hepatozoidae. The record is from RNAcentral.